GACGAACGCUGGCGGCGUGCCUCAAACAUGCAAGUCGAGCGGACGGAGACCGAACCGCAAGGGGAGGUCGAAGUUAGCGGCGAACGGGUGAGUAACACGUGGGUAACCUACCCUAAAGUCUGGGACAACGGCCCGAAAGGGCCGCUAAUACCGGAUAAUGUCUUCGGGUCGCAUGGCCUGGGGAAGAAAGCCGAAAGGCGCUUAUGGAUGGGCUCGCGUCCCAUCAGCUAGUUGGUAAGGUAACGGCUUACCAAGGCGACGACGGGUAGCCGGUCUGAGAGGAUGGUCGGCCACACUGGGACUGAGAUACGGCCCAGACUCCUACGGGAGGCAGCAGUUGGGAAUAUUGGGCAAUGGGCGAAAGCCUGACCCAGCGACGCCGCGUGAGGGAAGAAGGCCUUCGGGUCGUAAACCUCUGUCAUCGGGGACGAAGAAAGUGACGGUACCCGAGGAGGAAGCCCCUGCUAACUACGUG
This 475-nucleotide ribosomal RNA is filed under the name uncultured bacterium. RNAcentral's name for it is "bacterial SSU rRNA". It matches the Rfam family "Bacterial small subunit ribosomal RNA", at positions 28 to 507 of the family's 1533-position model. The record is from RNAcentral.